Long non-coding RNA from Triticum dicoccoides, 858 nucleotides. RefSeq lists it as uncharacterized. NCBI's taxonomy places the organism in Eukaryota, Viridiplantae, Streptophyta, Magnoliopsida, Poales, Poaceae. The record is from RefSeq and is a predicted model, not a curated record. The transcript has 2 exons.
GAGAUCCAACGGAUGGCACACAAUCCCUAAUUCCCUACCUCUCUCUUCUCUCCCCUACCCCCGCAGCCGCCGGCUUCUCUUCCGCCCAGAUCCCUCCUCCCGUGCCUCCUUCCUCCCAUCUCGUUCUCCAAUCUUCGACUUCCCUGCCCAGUCGAGGAGCUCGGAGUCCGCAUCGUGUCAAGCACCACCGGCGCGACGUCCAGGCCGCCCCACACCGUCCGAGCGUUCCAUGUGCGGCUGGAUCUGGCGUCUAGCUGCCGGAUCCACCGCGGAUAGCAACAUCGCCUGCUACCUCCUCUCCGACUCCAACCACCACACCACCUCUACUCCAUCCAGCCGUCCCGUCCACUGCCAGAACCAGCAAUCUCGCUGUCGGAUUGGUGGCGGUGGUUCCUCAUGGUUCAGUCUCCUCCCGAUGACGCGUCGGGGGCUGGUUCCAGGCGGACAUCAGCCAGCCACGGUUAGCGCUCUCAUCUCACGCCCGUCUUCCCCAUCGAUGGCACGGGUCUCCUCAAGGAGGACAACACCGACACUGCUAGGUAUGGUGAACGCAACCAGGGCGACGGGCCACUUCUUCGUCUCUAGCUCCGCUGUGCAGGAUCAUUUGCUGCCUGUACCAGAGUGUGAAUGACAUCAUCGACUUCUACCUCCUCCAUCUCAAGGACAAAUCUCUUGCAACCCAUGGUGCUGCAUUUGAAGUGUUCAUUUGUAAUCUGGUAGUGAUUAUUAUCUGUGUAAUGUAUGAUGUUUUGGAUUUCUUUUGUAAAUGUUGGCAAUGUGGCUUUAGUGUUGUACCAGUGAUGGUUGUUGUAAUUGAAUGAAACAAUUUAAUAGAAAAUUGUGGGCUUGGCAAAAUUA